AAUAUACAUUUCUUGGUUGGAAAUUUUAAAUGUUCUUAACUAUCUGCGUACCAUCCACCUCAAUUAAUAUUCUUGAGACCACUUUAACAAAUCAGCUGUUCAGUGAAUGUUCCUAACAUUGUCUGUUGGUUCAUAAGUCAGCUGAAAUCCGUUUAAAGUCCUUUCCGGCCCGCAAGGGUAGGUUUUGUCAUCCUCUGGCAGUUAUCCUCUGGCAGUUAAGCCACAUUUUGUGUUGUAAUGUUUCUUCUCUUGCAUUUAUUAUACCAAUUAGCUAAGUGACAUUGAACAAAGACCAUACAUCUCUUGUCCUCAAUUUAUGUGUAAAAUGAUUACUGAAGUUUCUUCUCUACCUUUAAGAAGACAAUUAUUAGAUUCAUACUUGCCUCCAAAACCUGAUUGUCAGCUCCUUGAGGCCUGAAACUUGUUAGUUUGAAACAAACUGUAGUGACGUAGUGGGAGACUUGCGAGCAUUGAUGUUCACAUUUGUAAAACGAAACAGGUCACUAGGAAAUAAUCACACCCUGAGUCUGCUUAGAUGGGAGAGCCAGAAAUGAAAAAGGCUGCCCUGCCCUUUACUCUCACAGACAAUACUGUUGUGUUGUGUCACUAUACUAGCAUCAUCCCAUCCUUCACUGCAAAAGUCAGAUUUUAAGUUCUCCAUCUGUGUCUCCCCUGCGUUCAUAUGCUUCAGGGGCAGUUGACUCCGUCUUUGCCUGCUAGGAUUGAGUUUAGAUUAUGAACACACAUGCUAAUCCAAUCCAGCAAUUGACAUGGUCAAUGGAUAUGUGCUCCAAAUAGAGCCAUUGAGAUGUUGCGGUCUUCUGGCAAGGCCUCUUAAAAAUGAGACUCAGAAAAGAGAUAGUUCUCUCUCUUCUGGAGUUUGGCAUUAUCUGAAUGUGAUGCACAGAAUUUUGAGGUCAUCUCACAGCCUGAGGAUGAAGCCAAUAAACAGGAUGGCAGAGCCAAGAGUAAUACCCCUUACCUCUGGACAUCUUACUUGAGAUAAUUUUUCUUACUACCUAACCAUUUUGAGUAAGACUUUUCAGUUGAAAUUAUGAGCAUGGCUGUUACCUCUCUGGACUUUGUGAACAAUGGUAUCUUGAUUUAACUUAACCCAGUUCAUUCCAUAUGUAUUUCAUUAUCUGAGAAUGCUCAUUUCAAGCCUAUGGUUUACUUCUCUCACUGUGACAUUCCAAGGUUAGGGGGAACAAACAGUACAUGUAUGUGGUCGAAAGUAAUUCCUGGGCCAAAUCAGACACAACAAACACUGGGUAAUGAAAGGUGAAAUGAGUAUAGUUUUCCUUUCAGGGAUCUAUUUUUUAUUAUAGCUCAUAAUUCAUUACACUAAUGUUAUGCUCUGUAAGCAUUAGAGAUGGAAUCCUGGAAGCUAAAAAUAGUAUGUAUUGGGUUCAAAUAUAGCUGUUUAGUGUGAAAGCAGGCUUUGAACCUAAAAGAGCCUUGCUUGGCUUGUUUAAUAGAGCUUUUAUAUUUGGAUUUUAUGUUUAGUGAGCAAAUUCUUGUAAAUCGUUUUGGACAGUUACUUUAGUUGUCUACUGAGAAUGGGAACAAUAUAAGUUUGAAGGUGGUAGAGAGGCAUUAUUUUGCUAUUUUGUUUCCUUUGAGGAGGAGGAAGGAAAGGAUGAGAAAUGUUUAUGUUAUCACGAAUGUUUCUUAGUCUAAUGUUUAUAAAGGUGGAUUCCAGUUGAAUAAGACUAUUGCUUAAUCUGUAACUUGCACUAUAACUGGAACCAUUUUUUAAAGUAUUAUUUUGCAAACCUGUUAAGAAUGUGAUUCUUUUUUUUUUUUUUUUUUUUUUUUUGGUGUGAUUUGCAAGCUCCUUGUCAGUGCAUGCUUUGACACCUUAUUGCUGGAGAAGCCAAACUGCUUGAUAACUUUUAGUAAUAUAUUGCAUAUAAACAUUUUUAGUUACAUUCAAUGUUAACAUGUAAAUUCAGAUUGUUAAAUGGUCCCAGUUUUCAGGCUGAUUUUCAGCUGAGUACAUGCCAACUGCAUAAAAUCAUCUGUUACUUAUUCUCAUCUUAGAUAUGAGUUUCCAAAGAAAUAGCCCACAAAAAUAGGGCAUUGUGGUAUAUUUUUAUUAAUCCUUCGGGCAGUCCUUUAUGCUAAGAUGAUAUCUUUCUACUUAGUGUUUCUAAAAUGAAAAAUGAUAGUAAUUUUUAAAAAUGACCUUAGUAAAGUUAGAAGUUGACAGUUUCUUGUAUCUAAUAUUUGGAGGAGAAUGUUACUGGGCUAUAACAUUUUGAAGUCUGGGAACAAUACGUCUAGUGGGAGAUGAAUAAACUGAAGUUUCCUCAUUAGCUCAUUUAAAGGCAGAUAGAUAGAAAGCAAGUAUUAGAAUCUCCUCCCAAUCAGUAGAUUUCUUCAUCCUUCACAGAGUUUUGUUUGAGUGGAAUUACUGGAAGCCGUGCUAUGUGAUACAACUGUAAAGUUAAAUGCUCUAGUCACAUUGUUAAAUAGCACUCAUUUUUGAUCAAAAAUGGCUAUUGACUUGAGAGAUCUAUCAGGUGACAGUUUGUAUUAUUGUGACACCCAUGCCUGUAGUAAUUUCAUUACUCUUUGUAUCUGUGUUAAGAAAAGAUAGACUCACAAGGUGAAUGAUUAUCUUGGCAUUUUAGUUACAUCAGUGACACUUCCUCCUGUACAUAUGGGGAGAUCAGAUUUAAUCUGAUGCUUGGCACUCACUAAGGAACAAAAAGAUCAGUUGGGUUACUGAGGGUUUUUGUUUUGUUUUGUUUUAGAAGCAUCAUUAUAAAAUUUAUCAUAGCAAGGAGAAGUGUCCAAAUUCAAAUGGAAUCAUAUUAGUGUCUUGGCACUGUCAUCUUAAUAAAUUCUUGCUGAAUAUAUUUUUUCAUUCGGCCAUUUACCACUAAUCUUGAGUUAAGCCACCAAAGAAGGCCCCAAUUGUGCUAGUUAUCCAACUUUGCAAAAAACAACUUUUUUUUGAGACGGAGUCUCACUCUGUCACCCAGGCUGGAGUGCAGUGGCCCGAUCUCGGCUCACUGCAGCCUCCACCUCCUGGGUUCACACCGUUCUCCUGCCUCAGCCUCCCGAGUAGCUGGGACUGCAGGCGCCGGCCACCACGCCCAGCUAAUUUUUUGUAUUUUUAGUAGAGAUGGGGUUUCACCGUGUUAGCCAGGAUGGUCUCCAUCUCCUGACCAUGUGAUCCACCCGCCUCGGCCUCCUAAAGCGCUGGGAUUACAGGAUUCAUCAGGAUUCUUGAAUCUGAAGAUUUUUGGCUUUCAACAGUUUUGGAAAUUUUUCCACUAUUAUGUCUUUGAAUAUUGCCUCAUUCCUGUAUUCUCUACUAAUUUCUUAUUAGAGGUUUUUGAGCUUAUCUUGGUAUGUCAUCUGUAUAAAUUUUUGGAGACCAGACUUCAAGUAGGCUGAUGGUGUGAAUUGCAUCGAUGAACACUCUUGCUUCCUGACUUCCUGUUGGAAUUGGCCAAUGGGAAGCACUUGAGGAGAUCAGAGAGAGUGAGGAGGAGAUAUUUAUUCUGGGUGUGUCCAGUCUCAGCUGGGAACGGAAGAUGCUUUGCAUAUCUUUAAAAUCUUCAGGCCAUAGAGUUGGGGAUAGUGCAGAAAGAAUACCACAGAACUUUUAUGCCAGAAAAUGGCAGGUGCUCCGAGGGCUAUGUUGGAAUGCUUGGAGUGCAUAAAAAUACCAAGAGAAUCCAGCCAGGACUGUGAAGCCCCAGGGAAUGGCUGCACUUCAAGUCAGAAGGAGCCUGGGUCCCUGAAUCAUCAUGUGGAAGGCUCUCCACCCAACUCAAUGGUGCAAUGGACCACAAGCAAGAACUUAAUUUAGAAUGUGCUUAUUUUGUUAGAUUUUGUAAUUAAAAAAUUGAUCCCACUCUGACUGAAUGAGAGAUGUUGAAGUCAUUAAUCUGGGAGGGUAUGUUCCUGGGAGUGGGUGGCUGAGGUGAGAUUUCAAACAAGGUUGUUGAGGAAGAGGAG
Molecule: long non-coding RNA, 3975 nt
Organism: Pongo pygmaeus (Bornean orangutan)
Lineage: Eukaryota; Metazoa; Chordata; Mammalia; Primates; Hominidae
Exons: 6
Source: RefSeq, a predicted model, not a curated record